RNAcentral lists this small RNA (104 nucleotides) under Salmonella enterica. RNAcentral describes it as "partial RtT sRNA". It matches the Rfam family "RtT RNA", at positions 1 to 103 of the family's 130-position model. Rfam says of the family: This family represents a bacterial cis-regulatory element known as RtT RNA. The exact function of RtT is unknown although it is thought that it may be involved in changing the cellular response in relation to amino acid starvation. The record is from RNAcentral. Lineage: Bacteria; Pseudomonadati; Pseudomonadota; Gammaproteobacteria; Enterobacterales; Enterobacteriaceae.
UCUCAUAUCUCUCUAUACGGGAGAGAAGCUUCGACUAAGGUUCGAUUCGAGCGUCAGCGAGAAAGCGUUGCCGCAGGCAACGACCCGAAGGGCGAAGCGCGCAG